Molecule: ribosomal RNA, 428 nt
Filed under: uncultured bacterium
Lineage: Bacteria
Description: partial 16S ribosomal RNA
Rfam family: Bacterial small subunit ribosomal RNA
Source: RNAcentral
GUGGGGAAUAUUGGGCAAUGGGCGCAAGCCUGACCCAGCAACGCCGCGUGAGGGAAGAAGGCUUUCGGGUUGUAAACCUCUGUCCUUGGUGACGAAACAAAUGACGGUAGCCAAGGAGGAAGCCCCGGCUAACUACGUGCCAGCAGCCGCGGUAAUACGUAGGGGGCGAGCGUUGUCCGGAAUUACUGGGCGUAAAGGGUGCGUAGGUGGCCUUUUAAGUUGGAUGUGAAAUACCCGGGCUUAACUUGGGGGGUGCAUCAAAAACUGGGAGGCUAGAGUGCAGGAGAGGAAAGAGGAAUUCCUAGUGUAGCGGUGAAAUGCGUAGAUAUUAGGAGGAACACCAGUGGCGAAGGCGGCUUUCUGGACUGUAACUGACACUGAGGCACGAAAGCGUGGGGAGCAAACAGGAUUAGAAACCCUGGUAGUCC